Long non-coding RNA from Anguilla rostrata (American eel), 996 nucleotides. RefSeq lists it as uncharacterized. NCBI's taxonomy places the organism in Eukaryota, Metazoa, Chordata, Actinopteri, Anguilliformes, Anguillidae. The record is from RefSeq and is a predicted model, not a curated record. The transcript has 2 exons.
AUUACUGUAAAGAAAUUAUUAACAUGGGAGAUUUCUGUCAUUUCUUUUUGCUGCAAACGUUGAUGUCUUUUUUGCUAUUAAGACAACACCUCAGCUGGACUUCCUUAAGCCCAGCACUCGCUGCACUGCCUUCAGUUAUAAUGAAGGUGUACAUGUGUUGGGAAUGCAGGAAGGGUGUGACUAUACAGCUUCUCAAUGGUACAUUUAAAUGAAUGCAGACAAUUGUGUUUCAUGAUUCAACGUCUGGUGCGACAGCUUGCUCUGACCCAAUGAGCAAGAAGACGCUGCUACCCAGACCAGUGAUUUGCCGGCACAACCUCUUGCUGAAUGAAUUAGUGGAGAUACCGCAGGGAUUAACUGAAGGACCUCGCAUACCAGCCCCCCAGCUGGCCUGCCCAAGGAGCAGGGUUCAUUCUUUGGUGCUGCAUCAUAUCCUCCUGAGUGAGGUUUCUACUGUAAGCGAAGUUUCCAGGGAAGAACUUUUUGUGGAUUGGACUGCAGCCUAGUUUUAUAAUCAGAACUUCUCUUUCACGUGGUCUCUCUUGAUCUUGCUCACAUGCCCUUGCCAAAUUAUAUGACUGGUAAAGAGAGUUGAAAUGAUAAUCAUAUAGAAAAAACAAAUUUAGAGUGGGACUACAUGUACUGUGAAGAUGAAGUCAUCUAACACGUCAGUAAUACACUAUAGUAACUAAAAUUUCUGAAAUAAAAUAACCAUGCUUUAAAAACCCCCUACGAUUUUUUAAAACCCCCACCACAUUUAAUUGGUGGCACUUUUGAACUUAUUUUACCACUGUAUAAUUAAUAUUAAAUAUUACAUUUUAAUUUAUUUAUGCAUCAAUUUGCAAAUAUCUGAGAAUGUGUUGUAUUUGAACUUUUAUCAGGAGUAGGCUACAUUGCUUUGCAAAUCUAGUGUGUCAAACAUUCUAUCCUUUUGCACUGCACAAAUUCCUUCAGAAUAAAUUAUGUUAGUGCUUUUUAGCUACUUUUUUCAUUUCA